RNAcentral lists this ribosomal RNA (460 nucleotides) under uncultured bacterium. Its description in RNAcentral is "partial 16S ribosomal RNA". It matches the Rfam family "Bacterial small subunit ribosomal RNA", at positions 338 to 795 of the family's 1533-position model. The record is from RNAcentral.
CCUACGGGAGGCAGCAGUGAGGAAUAUUGGUCAAUGGGCGCGAGCCUGAACCAGCCACGUAGCGUGAAGGAUGACUGCCCUACGGGUUGUAAACCUCUUUUAUAAAGGAAUAAAGUGAGGAACGUGUGCCUUUACGUAUGUACUGUAUCAAUCCGGAACGGCUAACCACGUGCCAGCAGCGGCGGUAAUACGGAGGGUGCGAGCGUUAUCCGGAUUUAUUGGGUUUAAAGGGAGCGUAGAUGGGUUGUUAAGUCAGUUGUGAAAGUUUGCGGCUCAACCGUAGAAGUGCAAUUGAUACUGGCAGACUUGAGUGCAGUAGAGGUAGGCGGAACUCGUGGUGUAGCGGUGAAAUGCUUAGAUAUCAGGAAGAACUCCGAUUGCGAAAGCAGCCUACUAAUCUGCCACUGACGUUGAUGCUCGAAAGUGUGGGUAGCAAACAGGAUUAGAUACCCGUGUAGUC